This 253-nucleotide ribosomal RNA is filed under the name uncultured bacterium. RNAcentral describes it as "partial 16S ribosomal RNA". It matches the Rfam family "Bacterial small subunit ribosomal RNA", at positions 524 to 776 of the family's 1533-position model. The record is from RNAcentral.
UACGGAGGGUGCAAACGUUGCUCGGAAUCAUUGGGCGUAAAGCGCACGUAGGCGGCCUGUUAAGUCGGAUGUGAAAGCCCCGGGCUCAACCAAGGAAGUGCAUCCGAAACUGCUGAGCUUGAGUACUUAAGAGGAUCGCGGAAUUCCCGGUGUAGAGGUGAAAUUCGUAGAUAUCGGGAGGAACACCAGUGGCGAAGGCGGCGAUCUGGGAAGAUACUGACGCUGAGGUGCGAAAGCGUGGGGAGCAAACAGG